Molecule: ribosomal RNA, 552 nt
Filed under: uncultured Glomus
Lineage: Eukaryota; Fungi; Glomeromycota; Glomeromycetes; Glomerales; Glomeraceae
Description: eukaryotic LSU rRNA
Rfam family: 5.8S ribosomal RNA (bases 156-309)
Source: RNAcentral
GGAAGUAAAAGUCGUAACAAGGUUUCCGUAGGUGAACCUGCGGAAGGAUCAUUACUGAUUUAGCGAGCCGAGCGUUAGCGAGGUUUUGCGAUCAACUUGUAUUUAAAACCCACUCUUCAAUGUAUAAAAUUUGUAUUAAUGAUAAAUUAAAAGAUCACUUUCAACAACGGAUCUCUUGGCUCUCGCAUCGAUGAAGAACGUAGCGAAGUGCGAUAAGUAAUGUGAAUUGCAGUAUUCCGUGAAUCAUCGAACCUUUGAACGCAUAUUGCACUUUCUGGUAUUCCGGAAAGUAUGCUUGUUUGAGGGUCAGUUAAAUAAAAAUCGGUGUUGUUGCCGCUUUCCGUGGUGACGCGUCGGAAUUGAGUCGUCUUCGGUUAAGUGACUUAAAAUUUUAUAUGAUUUUCGAACGUAUUUAAAUUUAUUUGAACGUUUGAUAUCGAAUGCUUAUUAGGUUCGGUCAUCCUCAUGACUCGCGCCUAUAAUUUUUCAUCAAAAUGACCUCAAAUCAGGUAAGAGUACCCGCUGAACUCAAGCAUAUCAAUAAGCGGAGGA